AUGGGGAUCUAUUUGGCCGCAUA
Molecule: non-coding RNA, 23 nt
Filed under: Arabidopsis thaliana (thale cress)
Lineage: Eukaryota; Viridiplantae; Streptophyta; Magnoliopsida; Brassicales; Brassicaceae
Source: RNAcentral